AGAGUUUGAUCCUGGCUCAGAAUCAACGCUGGCGGCGUGCCUCAGACAUGCAAGUCGAACGAUUAAAGCUCUCUUCGGAGAGUGUAUAGAGUGGCGCACGGGUGAGUAACACGUAAGUAAUCUACCUUUGAGUGGGGAAUAACGUUCGGAAACGAACGCUAAUACCGCAUAAUGCAGCGGCACCGCAAGGUGACAGUUGUUAAAGGAGCAAUUCGCUUGAAGAGGAGCUUGCGGCAGGUUAGCUUGUUGGUAAGGUAACGGCUUACCAAGGCUACGAUCUGUAACCGGUCUUAGAGGACGGUCGGUCACACUGACACUGAAUAACGGGUCAGACUCCUACGGGAGGCAGCAGUCGGGAAUUUUGGGCAAUGGGCGAAAGCCUGACCCAGCAACGCCGCGUGAAGGAUGAAGUAUUUCGGUAUGUAAACUUCGAAAGAAUAGGAAGAAUUAAUGACGGUACUAUUUAUAAGGUCCGGCUAACUACGUGCCAGCAGCCGCGGUAAUACGUAGGGACCAAGCGUUGUUCGGAUUUACUGGGCGUAAAGGGCGCGUAGGCGGCGCUGUAAGUCACUUGUGAAAUCUCCGGGCUUAACUCGGAACGGUCAAGUGAUACUGCAGUGCUAGAGUGCGGAAGGGGCAAUCGGAAUUCUUGGUGUAGCGGUGAAAUGCAGAUAUCAAGAGGAACACCUGAGGUGAAGACGGGUUGCUGGGCCGACACUGACGCUGACAGCGCGAAAGCCAGGGGAGCAAACGGGAUUAGAUACCCUAGUAGUCC
Molecule: ribosomal RNA, 775 nt
Filed under: uncultured bacterium
Lineage: Bacteria
Description: bacterial SSU rRNA
Rfam family: Bacterial small subunit ribosomal RNA
Source: RNAcentral